Helianthus annuus (common sunflower) is the source of this 312-nucleotide long non-coding RNA. RefSeq lists it as uncharacterized. Lineage: Eukaryota; Viridiplantae; Streptophyta; Magnoliopsida; Asterales; Asteraceae. The transcript has 3 exons. The record is from RefSeq and is a predicted model, not a curated record.
AUUGAAGCUCGAAUCAAGACUUAAAUCAAUGCAUGAACACAAAUUCGUAAUCACCUAAGUGUGGGGAUCGAAAGUUUGUCGCCUAACGAGCUAGGUGGAGGCUUGGGAAAGAAGCGGUCAAACGAAUCAAGCAUGAGAAGAAAAAGCGUAUUCGGAUGCGAGGUACUUUGUGGAUGCCGGAAGAAGAUCAGGCUCAACGAAGAACCGAACACGAAUAAGACACAUGCUUCCGCACUUGGCCUCGUCAUAAAUUUUAAAUGACGAAUCUGAUUACGUUAUGUCAAAUAACUUUUGAUUUGCGAAAAGUUUUAA